GGAGAGGUGGGUGAGUGGCUGAAACCAGUUCCCUGCUAAGGAACCGUACCUAUAUACUGGUACCGAGGGUUCGAAUCCCUCCCUCUCCGCCA
Molecule: transfer RNA, 92 nt
Filed under: Pseudomonadales bacterium
Lineage: Bacteria; Pseudomonadati; Pseudomonadota; Gammaproteobacteria; Pseudomonadales
Also listed under: 3 other names
Description: tRNA-Ser
Rfam family: tRNA
About the family: Transfer RNA (tRNA) molecules are approximately 80 nucleotides in length.
Source: RNAcentral